RNAcentral lists this unclassified non-coding RNA (322 nucleotides) under Hevea brasiliensis (rubber tree). Lineage: Eukaryota; Viridiplantae; Streptophyta; Magnoliopsida; Malpighiales; Euphorbiaceae. The record is from RNAcentral.
ACCUUAAGAAUGAGCUGGGAUUAAACCAUACUUGAUUAAUGGUAGGAAGUAUAGAAUGAAGAAAAGUGGGCCUUACGUAUAUAAUUGUAUUAGCAGCAACAAGUGCUGCUGUAACAGGGGCUUUUCUAUCCAGCCUGUAAUAUUCGGUCACUGUAUGCAGCCUAAAAGAGGUAGCAUCCCACGUGAAACUGAACUCCAUCUUCCCCUUCCUCUUUCCAUUCUUGAAUUUGUAUUAACAACAAACUUCUCACUGUCACCAAAAUUUGAAGGGAUUCGAAUUUCCCCAGAAACUUCUUCUCCCUUCCUGUAAUUUCGAUUGAUG